GAUGAACGCUGGCGGCGUGCCUAACACAUGCAAGUCGAGCGAUUCUACUCGGAGAAGAGCGGCGGACGGGUGAGUACCGAGUGGGUAACCUGCCCUGUACACACGGCUAAUAUACCGAAAGGUAUGCUAAUACGCGAGAAUAUGCUCUUAUUGCAUGGUAGAAGUAUCAAAGCCCCGGCGGUACAGGAUGGACCCGAGUCUGAUUAGCUAGUGGGUAAGGUAACGGCUUACCAAGGCGACGAACAGUAGCCGACCUGUGAGGGUAAUAGGCGACAUUGAGACUGAGACACGGCCCAGACUCCUCCGGGAUGCAGCAGUGGGGAAUAUUGCACAAUGGGGGAAACCCUGAUGCAUCACCGCCGCUUGAGUGAUGAAGGCCUUCGGGUUGUAAUGCUCUGUCUUUGGGGACGAUAAUGACGGUACCCAAGGAGGAAGCCAUGGCUAACUACGUGCCAGCCGCCGCCGUAA
This 468-nucleotide ribosomal RNA is filed under the name uncultured bacterium. Its description in RNAcentral is "partial 16S ribosomal RNA". It matches the Rfam family "Bacterial small subunit ribosomal RNA", at positions 28 to 523 of the family's 1533-position model. The record is from RNAcentral.